This 566-nucleotide ribosomal RNA is filed under the name uncultured archaeon. Its description in RNAcentral is "bacterial SSU rRNA". It matches the Rfam family "Archaeal small subunit ribosomal RNA", at positions 326 to 897 of the family's 1478-position model. The record is from RNAcentral.
CGGGGUGCAGCAGGCGCGAAAACUCUACAAUGCAGGCAACUGCGAUAGGGGAACAUCGAGUGGUCCUCAUAUUGGGGGCCUGUCCUCCCGCCUAAAAAGCGGGAGUUAGCAAGGGCCGGGCAAGACCGGUGCCAGCCGCCGCGGUAAUACCGGCGGCUCGAGUGGUGGCCGAUAUUAUUGAGUCUAAAGGGUCCGUAGCCGGCUUUGCAAGUCUCUCGGGAAAUCCAGCGGCUUAACCGUUGGUCGUCCGGGGGGUACUACAUUGCUUGGGACUGGGAGAGGUAGGAGGUACUCAGGGGGUAGGAGUGAAAUCCUGUAAUCCUUUGGGGACCACCGGUGGCGAAGGCGUCCUACCAGAACAGGUCCGACGGUGAGGGACGAAAGCUAGGGGCACGAACCGGAUUAGAUACCCGGGUAGUCCUAGCCGUAAACGAUGCUCGCUAGGUGUCACAACAGUCGUGAACUGUUGUGGUGCCGUAGGGAAGCCGUGAAGCGAGCCACUUGGGAAGUACGACCGCAAGGUUAAACUUAAAGGAAUUGGCGGGGGAGCACAAGGGCGAUUCGCG